Molecule: ribosomal RNA, 254 nt
Filed under: uncultured bacterium
Lineage: Bacteria
Description: partial 16S ribosomal RNA
Rfam family: Bacterial small subunit ribosomal RNA
Source: RNAcentral
UACAGAGGGGGCGAGCGUUGUUCGGAAUUACUGGGCGUAAAGGGCGCGUAGGCGGCCUCUUAAGUCGAACGUGAAAUCCCCCGGGCUCAACCCGGGAACUGCGUCCGAUACUGGGGGGCUUGAAUCCGGGAGAGGGAUGUGGAAUUCCCGGUGUAGCGGUGAAAUGCGUAGAUAUUGGGAGGAACACCAGUGGCGAAGGCGGCUCACUGGACCGGUACUGACGCUGAGGCGCGAAAGCGUGGGGAGCAAACAGG